UCAUUGGGACCGCAAAACCUAAAGGCGAAAUGAAAGUGAAGGUCGACCUUGCGUCGACUGAGGGAGGAUGGGUUGCGUCACGAUGCAGCCCCGCACUCCCGGGGCGUCUCGUACUCAUUGCGAGUAGAGGCGCACCCAGAGCGUACACGUUGGGACCCGAAAGAUGGUGAACUAUGCCUGGCCAGGACGAAGUCAGGGGAAACCCUGAUGGAGGUCCGUAGCGAUUCUGACGUGCAAAUCGAUCGUAGGAGCUGGGUAUAGGGGCGAAAGACUAAUCGAACCAUCUAGUAGCUGGUUCCCUCCGAAGUUUCCCUCAGGAUAGCUGGCACUCGCGUGAAGCGAGUCUCAUCUGGUAAAGCGAAUGAUUAGAGGCCUUGGGGCCGAAACGACCUCAACCUAUUCUCAAACUUUAAAUGGGUGAGAUCUCUGGCUUGCUUGAACAGUGAAGCCACGAGAUUUUUCGGAUCAGAGUGCCAAGUGGGCCAAUUUU
This 490-nucleotide ribosomal RNA is filed under the name Dryocosmus mayri. RNAcentral's name for it is "eukaryotic LSU rRNA". It matches the Rfam family "Eukaryotic large subunit ribosomal RNA", at positions 691 to 1138 of the family's 3401-position model. The record is from RNAcentral. Lineage: Eukaryota; Metazoa; Arthropoda; Insecta; Hymenoptera; Cynipidae.